RNAcentral lists this ribosomal RNA (345 nucleotides) under Triticum aestivum (bread wheat). Its description in RNAcentral is "partial small subunit ribosomal RNA". The record is from RNAcentral. Lineage: Eukaryota; Viridiplantae; Streptophyta; Magnoliopsida; Poales; Poaceae.
AUGUUUAGGCCGAACAAAGAUCAAGAAUCAGAACACGUUGGGAAACAACAGCAGCAAGGGAAGCCUCUCCAUGUGGCAGACGCAGAUGCACAAAUCGAGCUACUAGCUGAAAAUGCAACACCAAAUCAACCUCAGUCCGGCAGAGCUCCGGCAGCGACCUCGCCCUCCACACCCUUCUCGUCUUCCCUCCACACCUGGCAGCAGCCAGCAGUCACAUCCCUGCCGGAAGAACGAAUCAACGAACCACACAUACUCACCUCAGGUAGAAGACAUAUCCUGCUCCCCUAUGCACACGGCUCGUCGAGAAUCACCUGGACUAGGUCCUUCACCUCUGGCGUUACCUGA